This 354-nucleotide unclassified non-coding RNA is filed under the name soil metagenome. Its description in RNAcentral is "partial contains 5.8S ribosomal RNA, internal transcribed spacer 2, and large subunit ribosomal RNA". The stretch from base 1 to 120 matches the Rfam family "5.8S ribosomal RNA", at positions 35 to 154 of the family's 154-position model. The record is from RNAcentral.
GAUGAAGAACGUAGCGAAAUGCGAUAAGUAAUGUGAAUUGCAGAAUUCAGUGAAUCAUCGAAUCUUUGAACGCACAUUGCGCCCGCCAGUAUUCUGGCGGGCAUGCCUGUUCGAGCGUCAUUACAACCCUCAGGCCCCCGGGCCUGGCGUUGGGGAUCGGCGGAAGCCCCCUGCGGGCACAACGCCGUCCCCCAAAUACAGUGGCGGUCCCGCCGCAGCUUCCAUUGCGUAGUAGCUAACACCUCGCAACUGGAGAGCGGCGCGGCCACGCCGUAAAACACCCAACUUCUGAAUGUUGACCUCGAAUCAGGUAGGAAUACCCGCUGAACUUAAGCAUAUCAAUAAAGCGGAGGA